This 3667-nucleotide long non-coding RNA is filed under the name Ailuropoda melanoleuca (giant panda). RNAcentral's name for it is "lncRNA (ENSAMEG00000025098.1)". Lineage: Eukaryota; Metazoa; Chordata; Mammalia; Carnivora; Ursidae. The record is from RNAcentral.
AUGCUGGCUUUGCUCUCUCGCCUUUCCAGCUACGACCAGGGAGUGGGCUGGGUCUCCUCCCCGGGCCCUCCCAAAGGGAAGGACCUCUCAGGUUCCAAGAAGAUGGGUGCAGCGGAGCUGGACGGGUGUCUCUGGCCUUGCUCUCCUCGGAGGGAUGGUUCCCCAGGAAGUUCGUGCUCCCCCCCCUCAAGCCCCAGCUUUGGACGGUCUCAACAGCAGAGCUUUCUUAAGAAAAUGCUUGUCAUGGCAACAGCUCCAGCCAACUCGGGCCAGAGUCUUGCUCACCAGCUCUCCCGGAGCAGUGAGGGAGGAGAAGGGGGAGGAGCGAGAGCUGGAACGGAGGUGGGGCUUGGCUGGAGGCCAGACCAUGACUCUACUGUUAAGGUGGCCCGAUUUCGAGCUGCAGCUGCUUCCUGGUUUGUCUUAAGGCGGAAUGGAGAAAUGGAGGGGAAGAAUCCUCUCUUCUCUCUGGUUUCCUCCCCGCCCUUGCUGUCACUUGUGGGAAGGAAGCAGCUCACUGGAAGCCUCGAAAUUUAGAGCAUUGCCUCCCACCCCCCAAGCGGGCCUGAGCUGGGAAGGUGCCGGUCUGUCAGUUACGUUGGUCAUAUGCUUUUGUCUGGGGAGGAGAGUAACGACGCCUUCACGAUAAAGACUGUGGUUGCUGGAACAGCCUGACUUCAAAAGCUAACUUCCUUGACUCUGCAGUUGUUUGAUUCCCUUCUAGAUGAAUGGGAAUGGAAGAGGAGCAAGUCUUGUUGGGGCCUCAUAAGGAGGCCCUGGGAAGAUGGGCCUGGCUUUCAUGGUUCAUGCCCAGAACAGCUUCUGUCCCCAGGGAAGCGACGGGAAGAGUCCCCAUGAGGCAUGCAGGCAGCGUCAUCAGCAACAGACCCAAGCCCUUGACCACCCAUGCUGUCACUGCGUGUCCUGCCUGGACUCCGGCCCUUUGAGGCUCAUCCCUCGGGGUGAGCUCUCUAAAGCCUGGAAGUUAGCGGUCUGGGGCUCAAAAUUCUCAGGUCACACCAGAGGCGGAGCACCAGGAGCAUAACCUCCGCCCCCACCUUCCCAAGACUUGCAGGAAAGAGGAGUCAGCUUUCAGCCCCAGUGCCCCUCUGUCUGGACAGAGGCACCCAUGAGUGCCUGGCCGUCCCUAGACACUGGUGGCCGGUCUCGCAAACUGUGUGGGGAGCUGCUUCUUUCUGCCAAGAGAAGAAUGAACUCUGUUCCUUCCUGCGCUCGAGGAAUUCCAUCCCCCUAGAUUAUUUGUGUCAACCACUUGAGUAGAAGACGAAUUUCAGAGCUGGGAGAAUUUGUUUGUAUUUUCACGAUUUAUAAUGCUCUUUUUGUCAGCCCAAUUUGCCUAUAACAAAAGGAUGGCCUAACAUUCAAUUAUGGAGCAAAGAAACACAAAAAGCAAACUAAGGCUUUGCAACAUCAAAGUGCAUAUUAUCUUCGGCAAAAUGUAAAGAGAUGUAGGAAAAAAGGCUGAUCGGAAGGUUCUGUUAAUAAUGGGCUUGUCAGCAGAUUCCGGAGGCCCCUUUCGGAGCUGAAGUUCUCAAGACUUAGAUUCUUUAGUACAGAAAUGCUUCCUCUUUGCUGUCUUGUCUCCCUGAAUGUAUUCCUGCUGGGGGCUUCUAGGUUGUUUGUCUUCUUGUCUUUAUUCCUCAGAAGAAUAACCUGGCCAUUUAUUGACCGACUGACCUAUAGAUUCAAUAGUUUUCCCUCCUUAAGUACUUCAGAUACAUUUUCUCACUCAACAUUCUUUGCCAUCCUGUUAGGACAUACUAUUGCUCUCAUGUGACAGAUGAAGAAACCGAGUCCUAGUGAGAUGGAGUAACUUGACUGAUGUCACACAGCUCAUGAGUGGGUGGCCAAGCCAGGGUUGGGACUGAAAUCUUCCUGACUCCAGAAUCUUAAUGAGUUUGUGUAACCGGCUCCCUUCCCUGAUCCACUUUCCUCAAUUACUUCUAUUCUCCUCCUUCUCUUCCCUCAAGACAUUCCAGGGUCUCUCCUUUUUUUUUUUUUAAAGAUUUCAUUUAUUUAUUUAACAGAGAGAGAGAGACAGCGAGAGAGGGAACACAAGCAGGGGGAGUGGGAGAGGGAGAAGCAGGCAUCCUGCUGAGCAGGGAGCCUGAUGCGGGGCUCGAUCCUAGGACCCUGGGAUCAUGACCUGAGCCGAAGGCAGACGCUUAAUGACUGAGCCACCCAGGAGCCCCAAGAUUUUAUUUUUAAGCAAUCUGUACACUCAACAAUGUGGGGCUCAAACUCACAACCCUGAGAUCAAGAGUAGUGCGCUCCACCAAUUGAGCCAGCCAGAUGCUCUCAUUCCAGGGUCUCUACGAUCUCCAGGGAGGUGGUCUUGGUCUGGGUUUGAAGAAGAGCUUCCGGGAAUCAGUGAAGCCCCUGAGACUGCACGCAGCUUUCCUGCGUAGGUAUUAGUGCGCAUGCUUCUGGGAAGCGGUGCCGUUGCUUUCAUUAUAUUCCCAAAUGAGUACGAGACCCUAAGUGCGUGAGGCAAUUGGCUCAUUCCAAGGAGCUCUAGCUUCAGGUUCUAGGACAGAGGUUCCCAACCGUCAGUGAACAUCGGUCUCACGCAGGGAGCUUGUCAAAGUGCAAAUGCAUUUGGUACAUCUGGACUCAACAGACCAGGAAUCUACAGUUUUGCAAGCACCCCUUCUGGGGGAUGAGUUACUCUGUAGUACCCACUCAGUUUCCUGGUGACCUUAGAUCCUGUAGUUACCCCCACAACUUUAUUCUAGUAAUUCCUUUGAAAGGGAUCCAGGCAUUUUCCACUCCUCCCACAAAAAAUGUCCAUGAAUGUCAGAGUUGUGCUCCCUAGAAAAAAAGAGGUCCAGAGAAUCAGGACAAAUCAAAAGGAAUUUCAACAAAUUCUCCGUAAUGGAAAUACUCAUAUUGUUGGACACUGCAGGACUGAUGCCAUCAAGACACUACCUACUCGAUAUUAAUCUUUACUCCGCCUCCAGCUGCGGUUUUCUAAGACUGUCAUUGUCUCCUUUCCACGCUUCAUGGACACAAUUAUGAUGACUGGAGUUUAAAACACUGAAUGUAGCUCUUGGCCUUUCUUCGGAAGUCCCUUGGAAAGGCCAGUGAUUCUCUACCCAGAUGCUUCAUAAGGGAGCCUUCGUGGUGAGUUCACAGAGGUCCAGGAGGGGACCUCAACUUUGCAGAUUCCUAAACUUUCAUGGCAGGUGGGUCAGUUUGUCUGCUCUGCCCACACCUGUCCUAACCAUUUGUGUCUUCUUUCAAUGCCCCAAGAGGAACUGGUGGUAUAUGAAACUCCAUGACCCUCGUCAUUGCAUUUUGGACCAGGCAUACCUAGAGUGGCCACCUGACUUGUGCUAGGUUAACUAAAUUGUUGCCUUCAGGAUUUUGGAGUGUGUGUGGGGGUGCUCAGAGAUGCUAAACUUUCUGGAAGUGGGAAGUUAUGUGAAUUCAGGUCUGAGGUAGCUGUGUUUGGUUUAAUAAGCUAAUGGAACAGAAAAGGUCUAUUAGGGAGUAGGAUUGGGAGAAAGAGAGAAGUUGCCCGUUUCCAUCCUCUAUAAGGCCCACUUGUGCUUCCUGUUGUGUUUCCUUGGUUUUAUGAAACACCUCUGUUAUCUUUCAAUAAAUUCCUCUUUUUUGCUAAGUCUGAGUGAAUUUUGCUUCUUCC